CAGUAGCCGCGGGAAUACGGAGGGUGCAAGCGUUAAUCGGAAUUACUGGGCGUAAAGCGCACGCAGGCGGUCUGACAAGUCAGAUGUGAAAUCCCCGGGCUUAACCUGGGAACUGCAUUUGAAACUGUCAGGCUGGAGUCUUGUAGAGGGGGGUGGAAUUCCAGGUGUAGCGGUGAAAUGCGUAGAGAUCUGGAGGAAUACCGGUGGCGAAGGCGGCCCCCUGGACAAAGACUGACGCUCAGGUGCGAAAGCGUGGGGAGCAAACAGGAUUAGAUACCCCUGUAGUCCAUGUCUCUUAUAU
RNAcentral lists this ribosomal RNA (301 nucleotides) under uncultured bacterium. RNAcentral's name for it is "partial 16S ribosomal RNA". It matches the Rfam family "Bacterial small subunit ribosomal RNA", at positions 509 to 809 of the family's 1533-position model. The record is from RNAcentral.